ACCUAGCGGCGGACGGGUGAGUAAUGCUUAGGAAUCUGCCUAUUAGUGGGGGACAACGUUUCGAAAGGAACGCUAAUACCGCAUACGUCCUACGGGAGAAAGCAGGGGACCUUCGGGCCUUGCGCUAUCAGAUGAGCCUAGGUCGGAUUAGCUAGUUGGUGAGGUAAUGGCUCACCAAGGCGACGAUCCGUAACUGGUCUGAGAGGAUGAUCAGUCACACUGGAACUGAGACACGGUCC
This 239-nucleotide ribosomal RNA is filed under the name uncultured Chaetoceros. Its description in RNAcentral is "partial Bacterial small subunit ribosomal RNA". It matches the Rfam family "Bacterial small subunit ribosomal RNA", at positions 90 to 332 of the family's 1533-position model. Lineage: Eukaryota; Bacillariophyta; Thalassiosirophyceae; Chaetocerotales; Chaetocerotaceae. The record is from RNAcentral.